RNAcentral lists this ribosomal RNA (464 nucleotides) under uncultured Comamonadaceae bacterium. Its description in RNAcentral is "partial 16S ribosomal RNA". It matches the Rfam family "Bacterial small subunit ribosomal RNA", at positions 338 to 794 of the family's 1533-position model. The record is from RNAcentral. Lineage: Bacteria; Pseudomonadati; Pseudomonadota; Betaproteobacteria; Burkholderiales; Comamonadaceae.
CCUACGGGAGGCAGCAGUGGGGAAUUUUGGACAAUGGGCGCAAGCCUGAUCCAGCAAUGCCGCGUGCAGGAUGAAGGCCUUCGGGUUGUAAACUGCUUUUGUACGGAACGAAAAGGCUCUGGCUAAUACCUGGGGCUGAUGACGGUACCGUAAGAAUAAGCACCGGCUAACUACGUGCCAGCAGCCGCGGUAAUACGUAGGGUGCGAGCGUUAAUCGGAAUUACUGGGCGUAAAGCGUGCGCAGGCGGUUUUGUAAGAAGGGUGUGAAAUCCCCGGGCUUAACCUGGGAACUGCACUUGUGACUGCAAGGCUGGAGUACGGCAGAGGGGGAUGGAAUUCCAGGUGUAGCGGUGAAAUGCGUAGAUAUCUGGAGGAACACCGGAGGCGAAGGCGGUCUCCUGGCCCGUUACUGACGCUCAGGCACGAAAGCGUGGGGAGCAAACAGGAUUAGAUACCCUGGUAGU